GUGCUCAAUUCAGCAGCACAUACACUAAAAUUGGAACAAUACGCAGAAGAAUAGCACGGUCCCUGCACAAGGAUGACAGGCAAAUUCGUGAAGUGUUCCAAAUUUUU
Dipodomys spectabilis (banner-tailed kangaroo rat) is the source of this 107-nucleotide small nuclear RNA. NCBI's taxonomy places the organism in Eukaryota, Metazoa, Chordata, Mammalia, Rodentia, Heteromyidae. The record is from RefSeq and is a predicted model, not a curated record.